UACGUAGGUGGCAAGCGUUGUCCGGAUUUAUUGGGCGUAAAGGGGGCGCAGGCUGCUUCUUAAGUCUGAUGUGAAAGCCCACGGCUUAACCGUGGAAGUGCAUUGGAAACUGGGAAGUUUGAGUACAGAAGAAGAAAGUGGAACUCCAUGGGUAGCGGUGGAAUGCGUAGAUAUAUGGAAGAACACCAGUGGCGAAAGCGACUUUCUGGUCUGUCACUGACGCUGAGGCCCGAAAGCGUGGGUAGCAAACAGGAUUAGAUACCCUGGUAGUC
Molecule: ribosomal RNA, 272 nt
Filed under: uncultured Aerococcus sp.
Lineage: Bacteria; Bacillati; Bacillota; Bacilli; Lactobacillales; Aerococcaceae
Description: partial 16S ribosomal RNA
Rfam family: Bacterial small subunit ribosomal RNA
Source: RNAcentral